This 653-nucleotide ribosomal RNA is filed under the name Pontia edusa. Its description in RNAcentral is "partial 16S ribosomal RNA". Lineage: Eukaryota; Metazoa; Arthropoda; Insecta; Lepidoptera; Pieridae. The record is from RNAcentral.
GGGGGAAAAUUUAAUAGUUUAAAAAUAUAAAAAAUAAUUUUAAUAUAAAAUAUUUAAUGGGGGUUAAAGUAUAUUUAUAGAAAAAAUUAAAAAAUUUAUAGUGAAUUAGUAUUGUGGAAUAAAAUUGAAAAUAUUGAAAUAAAAAUUUAUAUAAAAGUAAAUUUCAUUUAUUGUAUCUUGUGUAUCAGAGUUUAUUAAAAAGAUAAUUUAGUUAAAUUUAUUUCGAAUUUCAAAGAGUUAAUUAAUUAAAAAAGUUAAUAUUGCAUAAUUAUUUUUAAUAAUUAAUUGGAAAUGAAAAGUUAAUCGUUUUGAAAUAUAUCUAAUUUUUUUAGAAAAAAAUUUAAUUUUAAAUUAUUUUUUUAAUUAAUUUAUUAAUUAAUUAAUUAAAAAAAUAAUUUUAUAUUUUAAGGGAUAAGCUUUAAAUUAAAUUUUUAUAAUAAAAAUAAAAUAAUUGAAAUUUUUAAGAUUUAUAUUUUUUAUAAAUUAUAAUUUUUUAUAAAUAAUUUCAUUUAAUUAAAAUUUUAUUUUAAUUUAAUUUUUUAUAAAAAAAUAUUUUUUAAUAAUAAAAAAUUAGUUAUAAUGAUAAAAUUAGUAUAUAAUUUAAAAUAAAAAAAAAAAUUAUUUAAAUUAAUAAAAAGGAAUUCGGCAAAAAU